AGGUUAGGCGCUGUAAUCAGUAUUAACGAAUCGUCCCGGUGCUCAGUAUUACGAACAGCCCCAACAUCAACUGUGCGCAUUAUUGCAUAUGAUCGACAAAAAUAGACAUCACACAGCAAAAAGUAAACACAAAGGGUGCUUUCCAACAAGAGUGCCACACUGUAACACAGUGUCACAUAGAGAGACACAGUGUAACACAGUUGCGUAGUCUAAUUGAAACAAAUAAGUUAUCAAACACGGUCACUAGAGUGCGUAAAAGACUGUGACCUAGUAAAAGACAGAUUCAAAUUGAAUUAGAAAUUUAGCCGUAGAAAAUCCAGAUCAAGACCCGUUAAAUCGGAUUAUUAUUUUGCAAACAAAAGUAUAUUUUCAAAUAUGAAUAUUUGACAAGCGGAAAUAGAAGACAUCGGAUUGAUAAUUAUACCAAAAUUGUCGUUUCGUGGACUGAACAAGAAUUUAAAGAACAUUUGCGGUUAUCAAGAUGCACAGCAUUACAUUUAAUUGAUAAAUUUGAACAGUCCGAACAUAUGCCGAAACAGACAUUUGGGAUGAAACCAAUUUCAGCCAAACUAAGCUUCUUACUUUUCUUGUGGUUUAUGUCAAACACUGAGCCCCUGCGAAUAAUAUCUGACAGAUUUGAUAUUUCCAUCUCUUCCGUAUUUCGAAUUUUACGUAGAGUGCAGAAUUGACUACUAACAAAGAUGAAUAAUACAAUUAGAUGGCCACAGAAAGAUUAUAUUGCUGUACGUGAAGAUUUUAGAGCUAAAAAAGGUAUUAACAAUGUAAUUGGGGCAAUUGAUGGAACAACA
Molecule: long non-coding RNA, 809 nt
Organism: Solenopsis invicta (red fire ant)
Lineage: Eukaryota; Metazoa; Arthropoda; Insecta; Hymenoptera; Formicidae
Exons: 3
Source: RefSeq, a predicted model, not a curated record